UACAGAGGUGGCAAGCGUUGUUCGGAAUUACUGGGCGUAAAGGGCGCGUAGGCGGCUUUGCAAGUCGGGUGUGAAAUCCCCAGGCUUAACCUGGGAACUGCAUUCGAGACUGCAUUGCUAGAGUAUGGGAGAGGGAAGUGGAAUUUCCGGUGUAGCGGUGAAAUGCGUAGAUAUCGGAAGGAACAUCAGUGGCGAAAGCGACUUCCUGGACCAAUACUGACGCUCAUGUGCGAAAGCGUGGGGAGCAAACAGG
RNAcentral lists this ribosomal RNA (253 nucleotides) under uncultured bacterium. Its description in RNAcentral is "partial 16S ribosomal RNA". It matches the Rfam family "Bacterial small subunit ribosomal RNA", at positions 524 to 776 of the family's 1533-position model. The record is from RNAcentral.